RNAcentral lists this long non-coding RNA (1233 nucleotides) under Homo sapiens (human). RNAcentral's name for it is "HSALNT0052927". Lineage: Eukaryota; Metazoa; Chordata; Mammalia; Primates; Hominidae. The record is from RNAcentral.
UUUCCCUUUUAUGAAAAUCCUGGAAAUUCCCUCUCCAGCCUUACAUUCUGAAAGCCAUACUUCUAAGUUACAUAUCUUCCCACUUCUUGAUUCUUUCUUUUGGGUAAAAUAAUUCUUCAUUAACUUUUUCUGGUUAAUGGGUGCAUGGAAAGAAACUUUAAGACAUUUCACAUAUUACUAUUGAGUGAUUGUUCCGCUUUGUACGUUUCAUGAAGAAAGAAGCUCUGCUUGUCUCAUUUAUUGCUGCAUCUUCCUUGCAGGACUGGUAUGCAUGGCCACGCAUUGUUAAACAUUCCACACUCACAAUGAGGUUGGUGUGACAGCUGGGGACCAGGCGGAGAUCCGUACUGUGGUGGCACUCAUGCACCUGUUGUUGGUAGUGAACUUCUGGCUGCCAUUCAGUCAGCAGCUGUUAACUACUAAGGUGCCAGGACAAAAUGAAAUGCAACCAAGAAGUCAUGCCCCAUCACAAAGUGCAAUUUGAGGAAAACAAGAAGGCAGAUGUUUUGCCAUUGAGCCAGAAUUAAGGUUGUCAAUUCCAAGGACAAGAUUUGGCAGCAUUCCUGCAACACAAAAAUGUUAUCACUAGGAGUCACUGGCAUGUCAUAGAUCUGGGUUUCCUCCAAGGUAAGCAGUGAGUUGUGGAACUGAAGGGGAUGUGUAGAUUCCAUAGUUGUCUCUACCACCCUCUUACUACCUUAUCUCUUCUCUGCCAUCAUUAAGAUGAAAAUAUGAUUGGGCCAAAGCCUAAUCUUUAUCAUUUACUAAUGAUCUUCAUUAAUAUGCUGUUAUUUCUGCCUUUUCUGAUCGUUUUCAUUUAAAAAAUAUGUUGGUGGUAGCAAGGCAAUCUGGACCAACCGUGUAAUUGACAUUUUGAGUCAUUGGGUAAAAUAUUUUACCAGUGUGCUGUGCUAGGCUCUAAGUCUGUGUUGAGGCCAUGCUAAAAUAUCUGGCCAAAACAGUAAACUAGGUGAACAAUGUAGAUAAAUGACAUCAUGGGGACAACAUUUCCAGAUAAUCUACUGAAUCACUGAGUGACAUGAUUGACGUUUUGGUUUUCUAUAGACACGGAGUCUUGUUUUGUAUCUUCACUGUUGCAAUAACAGAGGAGAAAUCCAUUUCUUUUUUGGAAGACUGUUAUUACUUCAGUGGAAAAAAAAUCAAUCAUUCACAGUCAGAAAACCUGGAGUCUUCACCUACAAAAUUCUAACCACAGUCCAAUCACUACAACUC